This 482-nucleotide ribosomal RNA is filed under the name uncultured bacterium. RNAcentral's name for it is "partial 16S ribosomal RNA". It matches the Rfam family "Bacterial small subunit ribosomal RNA", at positions 30 to 507 of the family's 1533-position model. The record is from RNAcentral.
AUUGAACGCUGGCGGCAUGCUUUACACAUGCAAGUCGAACGGCAGCGCGGGGCAACCUGGCGGCGAGUGGCGAACGGGUGAGUAAUACAUCGGAACGUACCCAGAAGUGGGGGAUAACGUAGCGAAAGUUACGCUAAUACCGCAUACGUUCUACGGAAGAAAGUGGGGGACCUUCGGGCCUCAUGCUUUUGGAUCGGCCGAUGUCUGAUUAGCUAGUUGGUGAGGUAAAGGCUCACCAAGGCGACGAUCAGUAGCUGGUCUGAGAGGACGACCAGCCACACUGGGACUGAGACACGGCCCAGACUCCUACGGGAGGCAGCAGUGGGGAAUUUUGGACAAUGGGCGCAAGCCUGAUCCAGCAAUGCCGCGUGAGUGAAGAAGGCCUUCGGGUUGUAAAGCUCUUUUGUCAGGGAAGAAACGGCUGAGGAUAAUACCUUCGGCUAAUGACGGUACCUGAAGAAUAAGCACCGGCUAACUACGUG